GCCAGGUGUUGUGGCGGGCGCCUGUAGUCCCAGCUACUUGGGAGGCUGAGGCAGGAGACUCGCUUGAGCCCAGGAGUUGGAGGUUGCUGUGAGCAUGAUGCCAUGGCACUCUACCCAGGGGGAUAGCUUGAGGCUCUGUCUCAAAAAAAAAACACUCAAGCUGUCCCCCUGGGCAGAGUGCCGUGGCAUUACAGCUCACAGCAACCUCCAAUUCCUGGGCUCAAGCGAGUCUCCUGCCUCAG
Molecule: signal recognition particle RNA, 242 nt
Filed under: Otolemur garnettii (small-eared galago)
Lineage: Eukaryota; Metazoa; Chordata; Mammalia; Primates; Galagidae
Description: Metazoan signal recognition particle RNA
Rfam family: Metazoan signal recognition particle RNA
About the family: The signal recognition particle (SRP) is a universally conserved ribonucleoprotein. It is involved in the co-translational targeting of proteins to membranes.
Source: Rfam by way of RNAcentral